RNAcentral lists this long non-coding RNA (563 nucleotides) under Cyanistes caeruleus (blue tit). RNAcentral's name for it is "lncRNA (ENSCCEG00000000875.1)". The record is from RNAcentral. Lineage: Eukaryota; Metazoa; Chordata; Aves; Passeriformes; Paridae.
GGAAAGGAUAAAGUGCCAGUGCCUUGCUGGAUGUCACUGGGAAGGGGUGCACACAGAGCUUAAGGGAAGGGGCUGUGAUAUGCUCCGACAUGUCAUAGGUGACAUGUGAUGUGGGCAAGGAGACAAGGGAGGGCAUGAAAAACAGCUGCAAAAAGUCUUGGGAGUCCUUGGAUAUUGUAAGAGAAUUCUCACCCGCAAAUUUUAAUAAAGUCCCCAGGAACAUGUUGUUUGAGGGUCUUGAAGGCAUCUCUCAGUUCCUUUGAACCUGGGUCACGACAGGAUCCUGCUUCAUAUUUGUCACUGAGACAGUAUCAAGAGUGCAGGUGUGUUCUACAGACCAAGAAACCUGAAAUAGAGGGACCUGAAAGCCACCUGUAGAGGCUGAUGCUGUCUAUAAUGCUCUAUUGGAUAGUAAACAGAUUAUAACUCCGCAAUUCCAACAAAGAAACACAAGCAGUAUGAGGGUACAGUCUGUAUCCGUUUGUCCUUUAUCACUAAUGAAAUCAAAUAAUGCAUAUGGGACCACAUGUUUGAAGAAUAAAUACACAAUUAAAUUCUUAACA